UGGUGGAGCAUGUGGUUUAAUUCGAUGCAACGCGAAGAACCUUACCAAGGCUUGACAUGAACUGGAAAUACCUGGAAACAGGUGCCCCGCUUGCGGUCGGUUUACAGGUGGUGCAUGGUUGUCGUCAGCUCGUGUCGUGAGAUGUUGGGUUAAGUCCCGCAACGAGCGCAACCCUCGUUCUAUGUUGCCAGCACGUUAUGGUGGGGACUCAUAGGAGACUGCCGGGGUCAACUCGGAGGAAGGUGAGGACGACGUCAAAUCAUCAUGCCCCUUAUGUCUUGGGCUUCACGCAUGCUACAAUGGCCGGUACAAUGGGUUGCGAUACUGUGAGGUGGAGCUAAUCCCAAAAAGCCGGUCUCAGUUCGGAUUGGGGUCUGCAACUCGACCCCANGAAGUCGGAGUCG
RNAcentral lists this ribosomal RNA (404 nucleotides) under Arthrobacter sp. AZTITEMP23. RNAcentral's name for it is "bacterial SSU rRNA". It matches the Rfam family "Bacterial small subunit ribosomal RNA", at positions 931 to 1333 of the family's 1533-position model. Lineage: Bacteria; Bacillati; Actinomycetota; Actinomycetes; Micrococcales; Micrococcaceae. The record is from RNAcentral.